This is a non-coding RNA of Myodes glareolus (Bank vole), 6081 nucleotides long. The record is from RefSeq and is a predicted model, not a curated record. Lineage: Eukaryota; Metazoa; Chordata; Mammalia; Rodentia; Cricetidae.
UUGAACUCACAAAGAUCUGCCUGCUUCUGCCUCCCCAGUGCUGGGAUUAAAGGCGUGCGCCACCACUGCCUGACCAUUUAUUCUAUCUUAACACAGAGAUGAAAGUUAAGAAAGACAGGAAGCUCACUCGCGGGUCAUUGUGCACAGAAGUUCCCAGAGGGAAGUCCAAAGCUGUGUUAAGGAUUCUACAAAGCUAUUGACUGAUUGGAACUUUGUAAUGGCAAACAGCUGGGAUGUUACAGAUCUAUAGUCAAAUCAUCUUAUGUUAUCUUUAAUCCUGUUACCUGCCAUUCACUGCCCACAUCUGCCCUCACAUCCUUGUACCAGGUAAGUAUUCUGAAACCAUAGUAACUGAGGAGGCGGCUAGCUUCUGCCACCUCCAGGCUAAGAAUGCCCUGUGGUAGCACCUGACACCUGUAGUGGAAAUGUCCUCACUUCGCUGUUCCUCCUGCUGGGCUCCCCUAUUGCUGUUCGUCCGAAGCCUUGACUUACGACUGUCUGUCGUGCCAACCCUUCACAGAACUGCGUCCACAUUAGAGCAUGUUAUCUGACAAAGCCUGGACCCACGUUCCUGGGCUAAUGGUCAUUCGUACUCCGCUUAGGAGUAGACCACUCAUUCCCUGUGAGGUGAGAGCUGUCACCAGACAGAAUUGCAUCCUUGAUCGUGUACCCAUGAUGAAGGGAGAGGAGACAGAUAUGAAGGACAGGGCAGGCCUCCACUGGGCUCCGCAGUCCAGCAAGGGCUCCACAGUCUUCCAAGUGGAUAGAAGGCAAAAGGUUGAAACUACGUUCCUAGUUUUAAACUUAACAAAUGUGAAAACAAACAAACAAAUUCACACUCCAAAGGAAGUAGGGUGAGGACCAAAGAGUAGAAUUCUCAGUUUUAACAAUGUAGAAUUCAUAGGUGUUAUUUAAACGAAGAAGUGUAAUAGAAGUAUAUGAGUUUAAUUAUUCAUUAGUUAAUCAGUAUGUUUGUGAGUAUGUGUGUGCGCAUGUGCAUGUGUGAGUGUGUGCGCACGCAUGCAUGCUGGGGCUCUAAACCUGGGCUUUGGACAUGGCAGCAAGUAUUCUUCUGUACCAGUCUCUUUCUUUUAAGCCACCAACCAGCCCCCAAAUCAUGACAUGGAGACUUCUUAUUAGUUAUGAAUGCUCAGCCUGGCUUAGGCUCAUUUCCUGCUGGCUCUUUAACUUAAUGUGUUUCUCAUUAUCAACCUUUGCCUCGGGGCUUGUUACUUUCUUUCCCUCUGUGUAUCUUACUUUCGCUGUUUCUCACGUAUGACUGGCUGCUGCCUGGCUUCUUUCCCUGGGUGUCUUCUUUGUUCUCUCGUCUCUCACUCCUCUCCUGAGUCUCGCUUUCUCCUCCUAUUUAUUCUUUCUGCCCACCAUGCCUGCCUAGCCCUUUCCCGCCUAGCUAUUGGCCGUUCAGCUUUUUAUUAGUCCAACCAGGUACUUCAGGCAGGCAAGGUGAACCAGAUGCAACACAUCUGUAUGUGAUUAAAUCCACACCCUUAGGUCGUUAAACAAAUGUAGCGUAAGUAAAUGUGACACAGCUUCAUAUUAUACAGCAUAAACAAAUGUAACACAUCUUUUCCUGGCUAAAAUAAUACUCCGCAACUCUCUUCCAACUGAGCUGGGGCUCUAAUCAGUAAGUUAUUUUUAAGACUAGAAAUAAGGCUAAGAAUGGUGGGACUGUGCUUCCAUGAGUACCAGGAUACCAAGAAGUUAGCAUCACAUGGCGUAUGCCAGGUUCUGUCCUCUGGUGAGGGCUCAUUUUCUUGUUAUCAGCUUCUGGAAGUGUUUGUAUUUCUCUCAGCUAUAAGGCAUUGCUAGAGAUUCCCUGGGCCUGUUUGUUUCACAGCAACCACAACUACAGAGCUUCGUGGCUUCACCAACUGUAUUGUUUUUGGUCAAUUUAACCAAAUUUACAUUUUCUGUCAAAAACACUUUUGCCUUCUCUUGCUUGUUCAGUCAGGGCAGGAAAGUGAACUUGGGUCCAGCUUCAGAUAUCGCAAUCGGGCUGACAGACUGCUCUCGGCCUUAUGGCUGUAGUCAGGGUAUUGCUGGAGGAACAUGACCAGUUGGGUAUAGAGGUGGCGAACAUGGGACACUAUGUUCAUUGCUUUUCUUCUUGGGACUACCAAAUACAUAACAAGGACACCAUAGUAAAAGGAGGCUUUGCUCAGGCUCACGGUUCAAGGAGAUACAGUUCAUCAUGGUAGGGGAAGGCACAGUGGAGGAACAGAGACACCGAUGGCCACUUUCCAGUCAUGGAGUAGAGAGAUGAGCUGGUGCUCAGAUCACUUCUACCUUGUCACUCUGUGAUCCCCAUCCGACCACAGCCUGUGGAUGGCGCCUCCCACAUUCAGGGCAGGUCUUUGCCUCAGUUAAUCCUCUUCGGAUGCUCUCCUGGGAACAGCCAGAUGUGUGUCUCCUGGGAACAACCUGAUGUGUGUCUCCUGGGAACAACCUGAUGUGUGUUUCCUGGGAACAGCCAGAUGUGUGUCUCCUGGGUAAUUCCAAACCCAGCCAAGUUGACGGUGAAGAUCAACAGGUCCCUGUGCAAUCAUGUGUAGGUAAGUUUCUCUCCUCUCUCCCUUAUCCACACCCAUACCUGACCAGCACCCAGUAGCCAGCAGCCCCUUCCUAUCCCUCACCAAGAGUCUCCCUAACACACUGGCCAACCAGUAGCCAGCAGCCCCUUAUUACCCCUUACCAAGAGUCUCCCUAAGACGCUGGCCACACCUUGGGCUGCUCAGCCAUUGAGAUUGCCCUCGUUUUACCCCUACCAGGAUGAUGACUGAUGACUCCCCUGCUUUCUCCAGGAUCUACUUUCCCUGACAUGCACACCCCUCUUUUCCUCUCUGGGGUCAGAUCCACCUCCUGGCCUUUCCAGAAAACUGUGCACCCUGAUCCUCACUUAGGACACAAUCUGCUACAGACUUUUUCUGCCUAGGCUCAGCCUCUGCCCUUGUUCUGACUCCAGAUUCUCACCUGAUCCUUCUGAGCCUCUGUCCACCCACCACUGUGCCCGUACAGGCCAGCAGAGGACCCGUUGCCCUUGCUCUGCAGCCAGUGGGAGGGAUGAGACAGCAAGGCCAUGAAGCCUUCAUUCUUAGCAGCUACUACGAGCCAGAUAUUGUUCUAGGAAUAUGUGUUAGUCAGGAUUUCUAUUGCUGUGAUAAAACACCGUGACCAAAGGCAACUCGAGGAGAACAGCAUUUUUGUUUUUGUUUUUGUUUUUGUUUUUAAAUAGCUUACACUUCUGCAUCAUAGUCCAACACUGUAGGAAGUCAGGGCGGAACUCAAGGCAGGGACUGAAGCAGAGGCCAUGGAGGAAUGUUGCUUGGCGUGGCUUGCUUUCACGUCUUCCUGUCCAGAUAUGCAACCCCCCCACCUCUGUGGACUCCACCUGGCUACAGCAAUCUGUAAUUCAGAAAAUGCCCUAUAGACUUUCCUGCAGACAACCUGGAUGGAGGCAUUUUCUCAGUUGAGAUUCCUCCUCGUCCCAGAUAACUCUAACUUGUGUCAAGUUGACAAAAAAAAUAAAAAUAAAGGCCUAACUAGGAUAGCACAUUAUAUUGAUAACCUCUUUGCUCUCCUAGAAGCUCAAUUUUUAUUACCAUCCUACAGAUUAGGCAAUUGAGGCAGGGAGCUGUGAAGUAACUUGCGAAUGAUCUGCCAGCCAGGGUUCUGAAUGCAAACCCCCCAGAGUCUGGAAUCUUUGCUGCGACACUCUACUGCCUCUCCCUGACCACUGCUGAGGCCCUUGACCUGAAGAUAAACCUAGAAUUCUCUGGCCAGAGCUCUUGCCUGAUACCCACCUGACAUCAGGAGGCAGGUGUGUUUCGGCAUCUCUGGGAAGGCCAGGCUUGUCAAAUGAUGGUUAUCUCUGUCUGUUCCCUAGAGCAAUUAGAACAAAGUACCACAAGCUUGGUGGCUAAAAAUGACCGGAAUUUAUUGUCUUGGAGUCCUCAAGGUCAGAAAUCCAAAAUCAGGCUGUUGUUCCCUCUGGACCUCCAGGGAGGAAUUUCUCUUGCUUUUUUCAGCAUAGCCUCAGGUGUUCUUUGGCUCCCAUCUCUUUCUCCAGAGGCUCAGGUCAAUCCCUCCACCUCUCUCCUCUUCCUAUGGAAGCCCCACCCAUACUGAACUCCGUCGCCUUAACCCACUGUGGCUUCAUCUUAACCUGAAAACACCGUGUUUCCAAAUAAAGCCUCAUUCACAAGUACUGAGACUUGGGACAUGUGUACCUCUUUCUUAGAGACCCAGUUCCUCUUGUAAGGUGGUAUCUUUGUCUGUGUUGCCAUUUGUAUGUGGCAACUGAUUCUCAGACUGUGUAGGAAGCCCACUUUCAGGAGAGACUCCACCUUCUGUAUUCCAAAACCUAAAAGAACUUCAAGAAAAUGAUAUGUGCUUGAUAUAAACAUUACACCAUCUCUACAGCCAUCAAAAUAUGGAGCCAGGGAUGGAGAGGUGGCUCAGUACUUGCUAUUGGUUCCAGAGAACCUGUGUUCGACUCCUAGCAUCCAUGUGAUGACUCACAACCCUCUGUAACUCCAGUUCUAAAGGAUCUGACACUCUCUGGCCUCCGUAGACACUGGGCACACACGUGGUGUACAGACGAACAGCAGUCAAAAUGCUCAGACAUAUAAAAACAAUAUAAGAUAAUUAUACAAUAGAAAACAUAUGUUUACUCCAGUGAUACAUACAAUUUUUAUUUUUAACCCAUUAAAACCACAAAGGGCUUUUGCAGUCAGAACCUGGGCCUCCUGUUGGCGUCACACUGGCCCUUGAAGGCACUGUGGCCGUGCCCAGUAGCUCUCUCAGAUACAUUGGCAGACUCUAUUCACAUCCCCUAGACUCACAAAAAUCUGAGGAAAUCGGUCCUCACAUCUCUCAGAGGUCAGAGAUGUUCUUUCUCAUCUCUCAGAGGCCAGGAGACCACAUUUCAGCCUAUGAAGCAGAGUAGGUUUGUUCUUUGACCGCUGAAAGCAAAGGCUAAAAGCUGUCCUGACUCCAUAGCCAAGCUAGCAGGCAUCAGUGAUGUUCAGGGACAUAUCCCUGUGAACAAAGUGGAAGGACUGAGGAGAGGGCCUAGACACACUGCUAAGCACCGGGCAUGCCCAGGGACUGAGGCCUACCUGCCCCCUGAGUUUUUGGUGUCCUGCGGGUGGGAGCUGGAAAGACAGAAUCGCCUCAUUGUUUAAUUCACGAGCUCCUCUGGUGGGCCUAGGAGCCUCCCCUUGACUAAAGCCCCUCUUCACAUUCAUUCUCUACAUCCCUCAUGGAAGAUCCCAAAGAGCCUUUGCCCUGCUUCAGCCCAGACGGGCUCGCUCCCAUGGACAGACACCUCAGGUGAGACAAGUGUGCUCUGUAAUCCUCCCUCCGGCUCUAGGACUGCCGCUGGUAGCAUGCAGGUGAACAAGCCCUUGGGUGGUCAGCGUGUCUCCGCUGUUCCUGUGCUUUGCAGCGCCAUCUUCGUGACUUAAUCUUCUUCCCAACUUGACCGUGAACUGCCCAAGGGCGGGGCCGUGGUGUCACCCGUGAUGGUGCCCCUUGCACACUCGUCCACGUGAGCAGUUGCACCAUUCUCUUCCUCCCGCUCCUUCCUUUGUCACACUACACUGGCCCAUCCCUUGGGAAGACUGAGGGAAUCUCUGGGUCAGUCGCUUCUUGUCACACCCAGUUCCUGCAGCCUCAUUUUGAGUACAUUAGCAUAAAGUUGUCCUGAAUGUGGUCUAAGUAAUUUCUGGCUCCUGCCGACAAAGAGAUCUAUGGCAGGGUUCUAGAUGGCGAUCACCAUCUAGAUGAGGCAGGGCAGGUACCGACUGCAGAGGAACCCAGUGGCACUUCCGGGGGCUGCUAAUAGUCUGGCUCUUGGGCGUGGUCUGCACAGGUGGCUCUGUGGAAAUUCAGCGACUGCUUACAAAGCAAGCAUCUCUCACGGCACACAGGGCACGGGAAAGUGGCUUUGGGGUUUCUUGUUGUUUCUGUUGUUUUCAGUUUUUGAUUUAAACAAAGGGAAUACCCACUUUGGCUUUUACUUUGGUGAGUAAAAGAGAAUAAAUAGGUAUUUCUCAUCUG